Molecule: long non-coding RNA, 211 nt
Filed under: Arabidopsis lyrata
Lineage: Eukaryota; Viridiplantae; Streptophyta; Magnoliopsida; Brassicales; Brassicaceae
Description: long non-coding RNA (ALYR_LNC000337)
Source: RNAcentral
UAGAGCAUGGGCAGUGGGGCAAGCAGGUGGGUGUAAGUCUUGGGGUGUAGGUAUUAAAAAAACGAAAAAAUUGUCUCUCUCUUCACACCCGGGUGUAAGUUUACACUCGGGUGUAACACUUUUUCUCUCUAUCUCUCUCUUUCUUUCUCUUUCUUUCUCUUUCUCUUUUUCCUUUUGCUUUAAAUUAUAAUACUAAAAAAAUACUUACACC